AGGAGCCUGCCCUCUUGAGCUCUUGUGGUGACCUGGGAAUCAAUGUGUGAGGUGGUGCUAUGUAGCAGGAACCCCUCUUGCUUUGCAAAUAGUUUUUUGUUUGUUUUCCUUUUUGCCCAAUAGAGCCCUGCUCUACUGACCCUUCAAUGUGCCCGUGUGCCUAAAUAUUCCUGGUCGUGUGAAAAGAACCCAGGUAUUAGCUGAACUAAGGAGCACAAUUCUGCAACAUUUUGGCACCCAAACACGGGGCUUGAGAAAUGAAUGCAAUUGGAGAAACUGGUUGUUUUACCAGGCGUUGAUUGGAAAUGUGUGCUUCCCUUUAAGCAGUCAAGCUCAACUUGCAGAACUGAUGGGAACCCCUUGGGAAAACUGGCCUCAAAUGUUUGUCUACACAGUCCACAUACAGGGUUCUUAACCUGCGACUGACCCUGCUUGUGCCUGUGAACCAACCAACAAUCUCUGGCUGCAGCUCAGAAAGGACAAAAGAGAAUGGAUGAGGGAAACUUCCCAGGGCUUGUCUGGGUAUGCCCACAGUGGACUGGAGCCCAAAAUGCACACUGGAGGAAGUGGAUGGAGCCACGUGGAUGUCAUGCCUUAUGCAGGGGAGGAGCCUGCUCUCUUCAGCUCCUGUGGUAAUGUGGGAAUCGAUCUGUGAGGUGAGGACCUGUUAGCAGGAACCCCUCUUGCUUUGCUGAAAGUUUUAUUUUUCUUUUUGCCCUAUAAAACCCUGUUCUACUAACCCUUCAAUAUGUCUGCAUUCCUAAAUUUUCCUGGUCAUGUGACGAGAACCUAGGUUUUAGCUGAACUAAGGAGCAAAAUUCUGCAACAUAAAGUCAAAGAAAACUAUGCCUAUAUCCAUUAAAUCAAAUGUUAAAAAGCAAAUAUAAAGAAAAAGUCUUCACAGCCCUAGAGAAAAGUGAAACAUUGUACAUAAAGAAGUAAUAAUUUGAAUGGAUUGUCAGAAACCAUGACUAGAAGACAGAGGAGCAAUAUUUUCAAAUUUCAUAGAGAAAGGAAAAAAAGAAAAGAAGAAAAAAAAGAAGACAUAAUAAAACACCUGUCAUUUUAGUAUUCUGUACCCAUUGAACAUAACCUUCAAUAGAAUGUGAAGUAGACAUAUUCAGGUGAAUAAAAAAUCAAGAGAAUAAUAGUUAUGUUCUACAUGAAAUUAUAAAGGAAAUUUCUCAGACUAGGUGGAAAUUAUACUAGUGAGAAACAGAUUUGAAGGACUAAAGGAAGAGAUGAUAGACUGACAAAGUCAAUUUUUAAAAGCCAGAUCUAACUUCUUAUUGGCUACAAGGAAUCCACUUUUAAUAUACAAAAAUAGGUAAUAAUUAAAUUGCUAGAAAAUACAUUUCAAAUAAAGAAUCAGCACAUGUAGCUUGGAGAAGAUAUAUUAACAUAAAAAGGACUUCAAUAAAAGGAGUAUUAUGAGAAGACAUUUAUGCAGCCAAAAAACACAUGAAAAAAUGCUCACCAUCACUGGCCAUCAGAG
Molecule: long non-coding RNA, 1495 nt
Filed under: Homo sapiens (human)
Lineage: Eukaryota; Metazoa; Chordata; Mammalia; Primates; Hominidae
Description: HSALNT0085719
Source: RNAcentral